Molecule: long non-coding RNA, 400 nt
Filed under: Vombatus ursinus (common wombat)
Lineage: Eukaryota; Metazoa; Chordata; Mammalia; Diprotodontia; Vombatidae
Description: lncRNA (ENSVURG00010010378.1)
Source: RNAcentral
GUAGACUUUCAUAGCCUAAGAAACCGGCUUCGGCUUCUUUAAAAAAAAAAAAAAGAAAGAAAAAGAAAAAGAAAAAACCCCAACCCCUGACGACUCACCUGAUUAACCUGCUGCAGUUCUGACCCUGCCAAGUGCUGUUGGGAAAGUGUUCUGCAUUCAGUAGCAUUGUUGGCUGUCCCCUGUAAUGAAUUUCUGGAGAAUGAAAGCCCUGAAAACCAGAAGAAUUGAGGCCUUAUUAGUAUUUUGAGCUGGCAAUUUACUGGUUCAUCAACGAAACAAUAUUGAAUUAUGAAGAUGUAAGAAAAAUUCCUGUGCACACGUUGUUGAAGUUUAAAAGUUUUCUAGGGAGCCCUAUAAUAUUCAGAAGACGAUAGAGGAGACUCCCAGAGCUGAAAGGGUG